Long non-coding RNA from Lactuca sativa (garden lettuce), 721 nucleotides. RefSeq lists it as uncharacterized. Lineage: Eukaryota; Viridiplantae; Streptophyta; Magnoliopsida; Asterales; Asteraceae. The record is from RefSeq and is a predicted model, not a curated record.
CUUAAAAAAAACAAAAAAAAUAAAAGAAAUGAAAAGUGUGGCAAGAAACCACACUUUAGUGGUAAAAAAUGACAUAACGCUUAUGUGGCGGGGAAGGGAGUGCGGUCUGUGGCACCACUCCCUCCAGCCUUAUCUUCUCCAUAUUCGGAUAUUCCAAUCAUCGACUCAAAUCUCUCUAUAAUCAACCAUCAGAUUGCCUCACCCUCACAGCCAUUGUUUAUGCCCUAGACGAUUACAUUUGACACACAAACCUUCAAAAUCCCGCUUCGCAUGUUCGCCAGAAGGUUCUUGCUACCUCUACUUCGUCGACUAUGGUUUACCUUUUGGGUUUUGGUUAAGAAGUGGUAUGCCUUUAAAGAACGUCAUGCCAAUUUAGUUGGUCCCACUCGAUUAUUUGUCGCCGGGAAACCGGUGUAGAUGUGUGCAUCUCCGUCGCCAACCUUCUGAUCAGAAGAUCCUUUAUUCUUUUACAUGGUGGUCAGUUGAAGAUGAAAGUUGAAGGAAGGAAAUGGGAAGAAAUUAUAGAAGAGAAGGUGAUUUGAUGUUUGUUUGUACUUAAAGUUAUGCACACCGAUUGUUUGAUAUAAAGUCUAAGUGAUGUUUUUAACUGUUUACUUAAAUAGGGAAGCAUGAAUAGUUCAUUAUGAAGAAGGAACAGAAAAUCUUGUAUUAGUUGUUUUUCUUUUCAAAAAGAUUGUGAAUAAAUACAAACUUACAGUUA